This 77-nucleotide transfer RNA is filed under the name Promethearchaeota archaeon CR_4. RNAcentral describes it as "Candidatus Lokiarchaeota archaeon CR_4 tRNA-Ile". It matches the Rfam family "tRNA". From Rfam's summary of the family: Transfer RNA (tRNA) molecules are approximately 80 nucleotides in length. Their secondary structure includes four short double-helical elements and three loops (D, anti-codon, and T loops). The record is from RNAcentral. Lineage: Archaea; Promethearchaeati; Promethearchaeota.
GGUUGGUUGGCACAAAGACUGGUUAGUGCGUUCGGCUGAUAACCGGAAGGUCGGGGGUUCAAAUCCCCUCCGGACCA